GGGGGGGGCAAGCGUUGUUCGGAAUUACUGGGCGUAAAGGGCUCGUAGGCGGCCAACUAAGUCAGACGUGAAAUCCCUCGGCUUAACCGGGGAACUGCGUCUGAUACUGGAUGGCUUGAGUUUGGGAGAGGGAUGCGGAAUUCCAGGUGUAGCGGUGAAAUGCGUAGAUAUCUGGAGGAACACCGGUGGCGAAGGCGGCAUCCUGGACCAACACUGACACUGAGGAGCGAAAGCCAGGGGAGCAAACGGGAUUAGAUACCCCGGUAGUCCUGGCCCUAAACGAUGAAUGCUUGGUGUGGCGGGUAUCGAUCCCUGCCGUGCCGAAGCUAACGCAUUAAGCAUUCCGCCUGGGGAGUACGGUCGCAAGGCUG
This 371-nucleotide ribosomal RNA is filed under the name uncultured bacterium. Its description in RNAcentral is "bacterial SSU rRNA". It matches the Rfam family "Bacterial small subunit ribosomal RNA", at positions 527 to 896 of the family's 1533-position model. The record is from RNAcentral.